Molecule: ribosomal RNA, 148 nt
Filed under: Phocaeicola vulgatus
Lineage: Bacteria; Pseudomonadati; Bacteroidota; Bacteroidia; Bacteroidales; Bacteroidaceae
Description: partial 23S ribosomal RNA
Rfam family: Bacterial large subunit ribosomal RNA
Source: RNAcentral
CGGAUAAGUGCUGAAAGCAUCUAAGUACGAAGCCGGCCACAAGAUUAGAUUUCUCAGGGUCGUUGUAGACUACGACGUUGAUAGGAUGCAGGUGUAAAGAUGGAGACAUCAAAGCCGAGCAUUACUAAUUGCCCGUCCACUUUCCUUA